This 1519-nucleotide ribosomal RNA is filed under the name uncultured Lactobacillus sp. RNAcentral's name for it is "bacterial SSU rRNA". It matches the Rfam family "Bacterial small subunit ribosomal RNA". Lineage: Bacteria; Bacillati; Bacillota; Bacilli; Lactobacillales; Lactobacillaceae. The record is from RNAcentral.
GGACGAACGCUGGCGGCGUGCCUAAUACAUGCAAGUCGAGCGAACUCUGGUUUUUGAUUUUUGGUGCUUGCACCAAAAUGAUAAAACAUUUGAGUGAGCGGCGGAUGGGUGAGUAACACGUGGGUAACCUGCCCUAAAGUGGGGGAUAACAUUUGGAAACAAGUGCUAAUACCGCAUAACAACAUUUACCACAUGGUUUAUGUUUAAAAGAUGGUUUUGCUAUCACUUUAGGAUGGACCCGCGGCGUAUUAGUUAGUUGGUGAGGUAAUGGCUCACCAAGACCGUGAUACGUAGCCGACCUGAGAGGGUAAUCGGCCACAUUGGGACUGAGACACGGCCCAAACUCCUACGGGAGGCAGCAGUAGGGAAUCUUCCACAAUGGACGAAAGUCUGAUGAAGCAACGCCGCGUGAGUGAAGAAGGUUUUCGGAUCGUAAAACUCUGUUGUUGAAGAAGAACAUGCGUGAGAGUAACUGUUCACGUAUUGACGGUAUUCAACAGAAAGCCACGGCUAACUACGUGCCAGCAGCCGCGGUAAUACGUAGGUGGCAAGCGUUGUCCGGAUUUAUUGGGCGUAAAGCGAGCGUAGGCGGUUUAUUAAGUCUGAUGUGAAAGCCCUCGGCUCAACCGAGGAAGUGCAUCGGAAACUGGUAAACUUGAGUGCAGAAGAGGAGAGUGGAACUCCAUGUGUAGCGGUGGAAUGCGUAGAUAUAUGGAAGAACACCAGUGGCGAAGGCGGCUCUCUGGUCUGUAACUGACGCUGAGGUUCGAAAGCGUGGGUAGCAAACAGGAUUAGAUACCCUGGUAGUCCACGCCGUAAACGAUGAGUGCUAAGUGUUGGAGGGUUUCCGCCCUUCAGUGCUGCAGCUAACGCAUUAAGCACUCCGCCUGGGGAGUACGACCGCAAGGUUGAAACUCAAAGGAAUUGACGGGGGCCCGCACAAGCGGUGGAGCAUGUGGUUUAAUUCGAAGCAACGCGAAGAACCUUACCAGGUCUUGACAUACCAUGAAAAGUUAAGAGAUUAGUCUUUCCCUUCGGGGACAUGGAUACAGGUGGUGCAUGGUUGUCGUCAGCUCGUGUCGUGAGAUGUUGGGUUAGGUCCCGCAACGAGCGCAACCCUUAUUACUAGUUGCCAGCAUUCAGUUGGGCACUCUAGUGAGACUGCCGGUGACAAACCGGAGGAAGGUGGGGACGACGUCAAAUCAUCAUGCCCCUUAUGACCUGGGCUACACACGUGCUACAAUGGUCGGUACAACGUGCUGCGAACUCGCGAGGGUAAGCAAAUCACUUAAAACCGAUCUCAGUUCGGAUUGUAGGCUGCACUCGCCUACAUGAAGCUGGAAUCGCUAGUAAUCGCGGAUCAGCAUGCCGCGGUGAAUACGUUCCCGGGCCUUGUACACACCGCCCGUCACACCAUGAGAGUUUGUAACACCCAAAGCCGGUGGGGUAACCUUUUAUUAGGAGCUAACCGUCUAAGGUGGGACAAAUGAUUAGGGUGAAGUCGUAACAAGGUAACCAA